UGGGGAAUAUUGCACAAUGGGCGCAAGCCUUAUGCAGCCAUGCCGCGUGUGUGAAGAAGGCCUUCGGGUUGUAAAGCACUUUCAGCGGGGAGGAAGGCGUUAAGGUUAAUAACCUUGGCGAUUGACGUUACCCACAGAAGAAGCACCGGCUAACUCCGUGCCAGCAGCCGCGGUAAUACGGAGGGUGCAAGCGUUAAUCGGAAUUACUGGGCGUAAAGCGCACGCAGGCGGUCUGUCAAGUCGGAUGUGAAAUCCCCGGGCUCAACCUGGGAACUGCAUUCGAAACUGGCAGGCUAGAGUCUUGUAGAGGGGGGUAGAAUUCCAGGUGUAGCGGUGAAAUGCGUAGAGAUCUGGAGGAAUACCGGUGGCGAAGGCGGCCCCCUGGACAAAGACUGACGCUCAGGUGCGAAAGCGUGGGGAGCAAACAGG
This 429-nucleotide ribosomal RNA is filed under the name Chloroflexota bacterium. Its description in RNAcentral is "Chloroflexi bacterium partial 16S ribosomal RNA". It matches the Rfam family "Bacterial small subunit ribosomal RNA", at positions 355 to 776 of the family's 1533-position model. The record is from RNAcentral. Lineage: Bacteria; Bacillati; Chloroflexota.